RNAcentral lists this ribosomal RNA (409 nucleotides) under uncultured Rhodocyclaceae bacterium. RNAcentral's name for it is "bacterial SSU rRNA". It matches the Rfam family "Bacterial small subunit ribosomal RNA", at positions 975 to 1382 of the family's 1533-position model. The record is from RNAcentral. Lineage: Bacteria; Pseudomonadati; Pseudomonadota; Betaproteobacteria; Rhodocyclales; Rhodocyclaceae.
CUACCUUGACAUGUCCGGAAUCCCGAAGAGAUUUGGGAGUGCUCGCAAGAGAACCGGAACACAGGUGCUGCAUGGCUGUCGUCAGCUCGUGUCGUGAGAUGUUGGGUUAAGUCCCGGCAACCGAGCGCAACCCUUGUCAUUAGUUGCCAUCAUUUGGUUGGGCACUCUAAUGAGACUGCCGGUGACAAACCGGAGGAAGGUGGGGAUGACGUCAAGUCCUCAUGGCCCUUAUGGGUAGGGCUUCACACGUCAUACAAUGGUCGGUACAGAGGGUUGCCAACCCGCGAGGGGGAGCUAAUCCCACAAAGCCGAUCGUAGUCCGGAUCGCAGUCUGCAACUCGACUGCGUGAAGUCGGAAUCGCUAGUAAUCGUGGAUCAGCAUGUCACGGUGAAUACGUUCCCGGGUCUU